Molecule: long non-coding RNA, 2818 nt
Organism: Callithrix jacchus (white-tufted-ear marmoset)
Lineage: Eukaryota; Metazoa; Chordata; Mammalia; Primates; Cebidae
Source: Ensembl
GAAAAAAUAUAUAUAAAAUUUAGGUGGCACUUCCAAGCAAAAGAAGCAGAAUCCUUGUUUUCACUGAGUAGGACUUGGGAUUUUAUACUCUCUACUCUCAUCAAAGUGGCUCAUGCUGAACGGCAGAAAGGUCAGUUCUGAUUUAGUUGAUAGCACCAAAACUUUGCAGAAGAGAUUAAACAGAACAUGGAUGGAGAAGACUUUGUUCAAAUGGUGGGCACAAGAAGGCUCCAGAAGAGCAUUCUAAUCUACAAGAGGAAGGUAUAUAGUUUUUCAGUUGAUUUAGCAAGAAGAAUCAGCAAAGUUUAGACUGUUUGGGGGAUAGUUGGUUAAAAAUGGUUCUCAAAAGAGAGAGAUUAUUUUUGUACAUUGCUAGCCACUGGUUGGGCAAUUAGAUUAAUCAAGAGGGAUGGGAUGUCAUUGUUAGAGGUUACAAGAGGGGAUGAGGAGAAACAGCUAUGGGGAAGAAGGACCAUGUGAAACUCUCAAUCUUUCAGGGUCUCUUAUAUUCCAAGUACAGCCAUUCACUCACUUGAGAUAUGAAUUUUGUAAUGUGGCUAUUCAGUCUCACAACUCAAGAUUGGAUCAUGUGAUCUCUCAGCCACUUAGCUGUAAAAGGAAGCAUUACUGCUUCCAUUUCCUUUGGCCUUUCUCUCUGUCGUUUUCCAAUGGUACUAGUGUGAGUUUUUCUCUUUGAAUUCACAGCCCUUGAAGAGUUCUGUAAGUCUGGUUUGCCACAGAAUAAAGGCCAUCUUAACUAUCUAAGAUUUAAGACCUUUUCAAUGCAACAUCAUCAUACAAUUGACCAUGGCAGACACCUCUGGACCCCACGUUUACCUCUUGGUCUACCUCUGCUUUUAGCUGCUGCUAUGCUUCCAGGUAAGAUUGGGCCAAUAUCCUGUCAAGAAGCCCCAAAACUAGGGAAAUCCCCCACCAGUCUAAUCACAAGUUACGGAGCAGUUGGAGGAGAUAAAGAAAACUGCAACCUAAGGCAGACCACAGAGGUACCCUUCCUCUUUUCUUCUCAUCCUAUGAAAUUCCAACUGGGCUUUGAUUCACAAAGUUACCCCGUAUUCAAGUACUCCCUGACCCGCAUCAGCUGAGCAAACACUUUAAUUUAUAUUUGAAACACUUAAACAUUUUAUUCCUUGGCAAAUAUUUUUUUAAACAGAUGACACCAGACUGAGAAGUUUGUUUGAUUAGAAAGGGUAAGACUUAGAAGACAUGGUCCAAAUGCAGAGAGCAAAACAAAGAUACUGACAAAUUGCUUUAUUAAGAAAUUAAGAGGAUUUUAGAAGGUUAUAGAUAAACCAAGAAGAGGCGUUCAGAAAAGAAAGAAAAUGUGGCUGCUGUCUGUAAAAAAAAAAAAUAGGACUAUGAAUAUGUCUGAUUGUGGAAUGAGUAAAGAAGUUUUAGGAAUAUGAUGUCUUAUAUUAAGUCAUAAAGCAUUCACAUUGUAGUGAUGUAACCCCACUUCACUCUACCUGAACCUUGAGUCCAGUCAGGCACUUAAAUGAAUGUAAGUGAUUCAAAGAAUGAGGGCUGAAUUUGUUUUUUGUGAUUGUGUUAAAUUUAUAGAUCAAGUCGGGAAGAAUGACGUGUUGGCAAUAUUAAGUCUUUCAAUGAAAUCUUUACAAAUUUUACAUCUUAAAAGAAAAACAUCCAUUUUGUCACCAGCAACUAUGAUGUUAUUUGUACAGGUUUUGUAGAUGUUCUCUGUCAAGUUGAGGAAGUUCUUCUCUUUGCUGAAAAUUUUUAUUGCGAAUUGGUGUUGGAUUUUGUCAGAUGUUUUUUCUGUAUCAAUUGAAAUGUUCAUAUGAUGUUUUUUCUUAAACUUGUUGAUAUCAUAGAUUAAUUUGAUUGAUUUAGAAUGUUGAGUCAGCCUUGCAUAUCUAGAUAAAUCCCACUUGGCAAUGAUGUAUAAUUCUUUCUAUACAUUUUUGCAUUUUAUUUGCUAAUAUUUUGUUGAGGAUUUUUGCAUGUAUUUUCAUCAGAGGUAUUGAUCUAUCUUUAUUGUAAUGUCUUUAUCUGGUUUUGGUAUCAGAGAAAUGUUGAUUUAAUACAGUGAGUUAGGAAGUGUUUCAUCUGCUUGUAUUUUCUGGAAGAGAUUGUUUGGGAUAUUUGGUAAUUUAUUGGGAUAUUUGGUAAAACUCCCCAGUGAAACUAUUGGGGCCUAGUGUUUCCUUGAGGAUUUUUAAUUACUGAUUCAGUUUAUUUAGCAGAUGUAAAUCUGUCACAUAUGCUGAUAAGAUAGAGAUUUAAGACUAUAUCUCCUUGUGUGGGUUUUCGCAGUUUGUGUCUUUCAAAGAAUUGAUUCAUUUCAUCUCAGUUUUCUAAUUUGUAGCUAGUUGUACAUGGAAUUCCUUUAUUACCCUUUUAAUAUGUAUGGUAUUAGUAUUUCUGCUAUUGGUAAUUUGUGUUUUUUAUUUUCUUGGUUCACUUAACUGAAAUUCUACCAUUUUUAUUGAUCUCUUCACAGAGUCAGCUUUUGCUUCAUUGAUUUUUCUAUGUUGAUUUCCUGUUUUAAAUAUCAUUGAUUUCUGCUCUAGCUUUUAUUAUUUCUUUCCUCUUUUCUUCUUUUUUUUCUUGCCUUAUGUUUAAGGCUUUUUUUUUUUUUUUUUCAGUUUCCUAAAGGGGAAGUUUAGAUAGUUGAUUCCACAUCUUCUUUCUUUUGUAAUAUUUGUAUUUAGUGAUAUAAAAUGUCUCUACUGCUUUCACUACAUUCUACAAAUUUGCAAAUUUGUAUAUUAUAUUUUCAUUUUCAUUUAGUUCAAACUAUUUAAAUUUUCUCAAAACUUCUUUAUGUACUAUGUAGAAC